RNAcentral lists this ribosomal RNA (433 nucleotides) under uncultured bacterium. RNAcentral describes it as "partial 16S ribosomal RNA". It matches the Rfam family "Bacterial small subunit ribosomal RNA", at positions 29 to 507 of the family's 1533-position model. The record is from RNAcentral.
AGCGGACGCUGGCGGCAGGCCUAACACAUGCAAGUCGAACGAACUCUUCGGAGUUAGUGGCGGACGGGUGAGUAACACGUGGGAACGUGCCUUUAGGUUCGGAAUAACUCAGGGAAACUUGUGCUAAUACCGAAUGUGUCCUUCGGGGGAAAGAUUUAUCGCCUUUAGAGCGGCCCGCGUCUGAUUAGCUAGUUGGUGAGGUAAAGGCUCACCAAGGCGACGAUCAGUAGCUGGUCUGAGAGGAUGAUCAGCCACAUUGGGACUGAGACACGGCCCAAACUCCUACGGGAGGCAGCAGUGGGGAAUCUUGCGCAAUGGGCGAAAGCCUGACGCAGCCAUGCCGCGUGAAUGAUGAAGGUCUUAGGAUUGUAAAAUUCUUUCACCGGGGACGAUAAUGACGGUACCCGGAGAAGAAGCCCCGGCUAACUUCGUG